This is a small nuclear RNA of Carcharodon carcharias (great white shark), 167 nucleotides long. RefSeq annotates it as U1 spliceosomal RNA. The record is from RefSeq and is a predicted model, not a curated record. NCBI's taxonomy places the organism in Eukaryota, Metazoa, Chordata, Chondrichthyes, Lamniformes, Lamnidae. The transcript has a single exon.
UUAUGUACAAGUGAUUAGGGGAGAGACCAUGAUCAUGAAGGUGGUUCUUCCAGGACGAGGCUAGCCCAUUGCACUUUGGGUGUGCUGAAGCCUGCGAUGUCUCCAAAUGCAGGAUACUCGACUGCAAAAUUUGUAGUAGUGGGGGACUAUGUUCGCGCUCUCCCCUG